RNAcentral lists this transfer RNA (76 nucleotides) under Snodgrassella sp. R-53583. RNAcentral describes it as "tRNA_Lys_CTT". It matches the Rfam family "tRNA". From Rfam's summary of the family: Transfer RNA (tRNA) molecules are approximately 80 nucleotides in length. Their secondary structure includes four short double-helical elements and three loops (D, anti-codon, and T loops). Further hydrogen bonds mediate the characteristic L-shaped molecular structure. tRNAs have two regions of fundamental functional importance: the anti-codon, which is responsible for specific mRNA codon recognition, and the 3' end, to which the tRNAs corresponding amino acid is attached (by aminoacyl-tRNA synthetases). tRNAs cope with the degeneracy of the genetic code in two manners: having more than one tRNA (with a specific anti-codon) for a particular amino acid; and 'wobble' base-pairing, i.e. permitting non-standard base-pairing at the 3rd anti-codon position. Lineage: Bacteria; Pseudomonadati; Pseudomonadota; Betaproteobacteria; Neisseriales; Neisseriaceae. The record is from RNAcentral.
GGGUCGUUAGCUCAGUUGGUAGAGCAGUGGACUCUUAAUCCAUUUGUCCAGGGUUCGAUCCCCUGACGACCCACUA